Molecule: long non-coding RNA, 1920 nt
Organism: Myzus persicae (green peach aphid)
Lineage: Eukaryota; Metazoa; Arthropoda; Insecta; Hemiptera; Aphididae
Exons: 5
Source: RefSeq, a predicted model, not a curated record
ACACAUGUCAUACAAUUUGAAUCAAAAGCCACAGAUAUAUAGAAUUCUAUAUAUCUGUGUCAAAAGCACGGUUUAAGAUCUAUCUUAAACCGUGAUCAAAAGUCAUAUCAAUAUUGUGAUCUGCGACUGUUUCCGCAAUAUCGCAUGUAGUGCUCACUGCUCAUGUCGGUUAAAAAUUUGAAAUUUGAAUGAAAACGUUGAAAACUAAAUAGUGAUUUGCACCCGUUUAUACCUAUUAUAGCCUGUAGGUUAUAUUUACAUUUUACCUACGUGUAGUGUUUUAUGGUUUUUCAAUUUUUAACUUUUUUCACAAAACAAAAUUCUACAGACUACAUUUCUAUUUAAAUUUUUUUACCUUGUACCUGUAGUUUGCAUGUCGUGGUGUUUUUUUUUAUUUUAGUAAAAUGUUGUCUAAAGUCUUGGCAUUUUAUAUUUUUAUUACAAUGUUAAAAGUCCAGCAUUCGAUGUAUUACAAACACUAUUGUACUGAUUUUGAAUUAUUAUGCUGUAUGCUCACAUAAUUGAGUUUCUUAUGGCAAUCGCCAUAUGGAGAUAUCAUUGCCUCUAUUGCCAUAAGACAUAAGAAUGAAUAUAUUUUUAAAGCCAAUUAUACUGCCUCAUUCUCAUCCCCUGCUUACAUUACAGAUAUAUCAGUUAAAACUUCAGUUUCAUAACUUACACACAGGAAACACAAUUUUAAAUUCUGAGUGCAGAAGAAUUCUUCAAUUGUGUCAUACAAUGGAUUUGCUGAGCCUGCAUGUUUUAGGAAACAUUCAAUGUUUGAAUCAUUUGGAACAAAUUUUAAUUUACGCUCAAACUAUUUACACAUAAAUCUGAUGUUAUGGCAUUUAUUAUUAUUUAUUACAAUAAACUAGUUGCUCACUGUGGAUUUAGCAAUCAGUUGAUCAAAGUAUUAAACCAAAUUAGCAUUGAUUAUGGAACAUUUGACAUUUUCUCUGAUGAAGAAGUUCGACGAGGAUUAAAAGUUUAUUUUGAUUGGCCAAUAUACUCACAUGCUUAUGUUAAAGAUCAUUGAUUGGAGUUUUGGAUUUAAUUAAAGAAGUGAAAGAAGACGGAGAUUUAAUUUCUACUCUAAAAGGUGAAGUAUAGGAAAAUAAAACGUGGUUUGGUUACUUUUUUAUUCAAUUGAUUAUUUUAUUGAUUUAGUUUAAUUAAAUUUUUUCAUAGAAAUAUCAAAAUCCAUAGAAAUACAGCUCUAAGGAAAAUAUUAUAACAGUAUUUAAAAUAUUUACAAAAUUAUAUCAUGUGUAUUUACUAAGUCAUUUAAUGCCAAAUUAGAACUAUUUAUUUAUUACUAAUAUUAAUAUUAGUUGACAAUAUAUUUUUUAUCCAACCCAAUUUUUAUAUGCAUGUUAUUUAUUAAUUGUUUAUGUAGCUUCACUUCUUGAACAAAUAUUUACAGAAAAUAAAAUAAUACAUAUAUUAUUGUAAAAUCAAUCAUAAUUGGGCCAGUCCUCUGAUACAAAAUAGAAAGGUAGGUACUUAUUAAAAAACCUAAAAAAAUUUUUAUAGUAAUAUAGGUAGCUGACUGGCAGACCGUUUUCACUCAAAAUCAUUUUUUGUAUGCAAUGAUUUAUCAUUGAAUUCAAAUUUAAUACAUACAUACAGUGCAGUGACUUACACCUAACUGUGAUGUGCAGAAGUACAGUAGGUACCUACACCAGGUUACUUACCAUUAUUAAGUCUUCUUUAAGGCACCAUAAACUAAACAACAUGCAUGAAUUCUUUGCACCUACAACUAAAACUUUCAAUAAACUUUUCAAAUUUUUAAACUAAAUUUAACAUAAUUUUAAACAAUGUAAAUAGUAUAAUUGUAUUGGCUUAUAACCUCAUUGUUAGAUACUAAAAAAUAAAAAUACAUUAAAUCGCUUUCAUAGAUAAACUAGAGGUAGGUACCUA